GAGAGAGAGCUUGCUUUCUCGAGCGAGUGGCGAACGGGUGAGUAACGCGUGAGGAACCUGCCUCAAAGAGGGGGACAACAGUUGGAAACGACUGCUAAUACCGCAUAAGCCCACGGCUCGGCAUCGAGCAGAGGGAAAAGGAGCAAUCCGCUUUGAGAUGGCCUCGCGUCCGAUUAGCUAGUUGGUGAGGUAAUGGCCCACCAAGGCGACGAUCGGUAGCCGGACUGAGAGGUUGAACGGCCACAUUGGGACUGAGACACGGCCCAGACUCCUACGGGAGGCAGCAGUGGGGAAUAUUGCACAAUGGGGGAAACCCUGAUGCAGCGACGCCGCGUGGAGGAAGAAGGUCUUCGGAUUGUAAACUCCUGUUGUUGAGGAAGAUAAUGACGGUACUCAACAAGGAAGUGACGGCUAACUACGUGCCAGCAGCCGCGGUAAAACGUAGGUCACAAGCGUUGUCCGGAAUUACUGGGUGUAAAGGGAGCGCAGGCGGGAAGACAAGUUGGAAGUGAAAUCCAUGGGCUCAACCCAUGAACUGCUUUCAAAACUGUUUUUCUUGAGUAGUGCAGAGGUACGCGGAAUUCCCGGUGUAGCGGUGGAUGCGUAGAUAUCGGGAGGAACACCAGUGGCGAAGCGCUACUGGGCACCAACUGACGCU
Molecule: ribosomal RNA, 658 nt
Filed under: uncultured Lachnospiraceae bacterium
Lineage: Bacteria; Bacillati; Bacillota; Clostridia; Lachnospirales; Lachnospiraceae
Description: bacterial SSU rRNA
Rfam family: Bacterial small subunit ribosomal RNA
Source: RNAcentral